AGAGUUUGAUCCUGGCUCAGAUUGAACGCUGGCGGCAUGCCUUACACAUGCAAGUCGAACGGCAGCACGGGGGCAACCCUGGUGACGAGUGGCGAACGGGUGAGUAAUACAUCGGAACGUGUCCUGGAGUGGGGGAUAGCCCGGCGAAAGCCGGAUUAAUACCGCAUACGCUCUGUGGAGGAAAGCAGGGGACCCGCGAGGGCCUUGUGCUAGGGGGGCGGCCGAUGUCCGAUUAGCUUGUUGGUGGGGUAAUGGCCUACCAAGGCAACGAUCGGUAGCUGGUUUGAGAGGAUGAUCAGCCACACUGGGACUGAGACACGGCCCAGACUCCUACGGGAGGCAGCAGUGGGGAAUUUUGGACAAUGGGGGCAACCCUGAUCCAGCCAUGCCGCGUGCGGGAAGAAGGCCUUCGGGUUGUAAACCGCUUUUAGCCGGGAAGAAAGCUGUACGGACAACACCCGUGCAGGUUGACGGUACCGGCGGAAUAAGCACCGGCUAACUACGUGCCAGCCGCCGCGGUAAUAC
Molecule: ribosomal RNA, 525 nt
Filed under: uncultured bacterium
Lineage: Bacteria
Description: bacterial SSU rRNA
Rfam family: Bacterial small subunit ribosomal RNA
Source: RNAcentral